This is a long non-coding RNA of Phyllopteryx taeniolatus (common seadragon), 973 nucleotides long. RefSeq lists it as uncharacterized. The transcript is spliced from 3 exons. NCBI's taxonomy places the organism in Eukaryota, Metazoa, Chordata, Actinopteri, Syngnathiformes, Syngnathidae. The record is from RefSeq and is a predicted model, not a curated record.
UAUUUACUUUUCUUUUUACACCAGGUAGGGACACCAGGUGUAGGUAGAUGGGUCCAGACGGGACUACAGAUGGCCCGUUGGACCCACUCAGUGCACAUUUGUACAUGAGAUGUGCGGGGACGCUGAUACGUGUCAACCUCAAACCAUCCCAGAGUGCAUCAAUGUGAAGUACCCGUGAUACAGUUUUUACAGCGCUGUGUGUUGUGUGAAUGUCAUACAAUUCUUGUACCAUAUUCUGAUGUACGCGGAUAAAGUGAGUGAAGGGCUCGACUAAUGUUACAGGACUACUUUACUGUAGUCCAGAGAACAUGUGGCCUGACAUGUCAUGGAUUUAAAAAGAAAAGUGUGCCACAACUGUGCUAUUGAUGUAGCACUAACCCCAAAUGUUUGACUUUAUUUCCCAAAAAUACAUGUUUUGUAGGUUUUGGAUAAAUCACUCAAACCAGUGUUGUUAAUUUUCAGUUUUUGAGUCGCAGCACAGCUGUGGAAAUUGUCAACAGCAGCAAAGUUCUCCAGGCGGAGACAACCCUGCUUCUGGAUGGAAAACAUCCGUCCAAGUUCCCUGAGGAAGAGGGGCUCUGCUUAACCAUGAACAGCAUGAGUGCUGAGCUCUACAAGCUGGAUGACAUUCACUGGAUCUGUCCACUAAUGCACUGUGCUGAGGAGGGGUUGGUGCGUCCCAGUAGUAAAAGCAGCAUAAAGCUUAAGAUCAUGCCCAAGGUGAAGAGGGAGAAGGAAAAGCUCCACAAGCAGAAGUCAAACCGCUCGCUCUCAGGUUGGAACAGCCGAUAAAACACACCCAAAGUCAUCGAGCAGACAAAUCGGAAUGUGGAGCGUUGUUUUGAGCAGGUUACUUUGCUUCCCUCUAGUGGCCCGGUGAGGUAAAAUUUGCAGCCGCAUGGCCAGCUACUUGAAGCUGCUUUCACACAGCAUUCCAUAUUGUCCACAAAUGUAUUCUCCUUUCCUUUUUGAG